GUCAGCAUGGUACAGUGGUUUGAACACUACACUAAGUCUCUGGAGACCAGGGUUCAAAUCCCUAUUUAGCCA
Phrynosoma platyrhinos (Desert horned lizard) is the source of this 72-nucleotide non-coding RNA. Lineage: Eukaryota; Metazoa; Chordata; Lepidosauria; Squamata; Phrynosomatidae. The record is from the annotation of a GenBank genome assembly.